This 76-nucleotide transfer RNA is filed under the name Sulfuritalea sp. Its description in RNAcentral is "tRNA-Ile". It matches the Rfam family "tRNA". Rfam says of the family: Transfer RNA (tRNA) molecules are approximately 80 nucleotides in length. Their secondary structure includes four short double-helical elements and three loops (D, anti-codon, and T loops). Further hydrogen bonds mediate the characteristic L-shaped molecular structure. tRNAs have two regions of fundamental functional importance: the anti-codon, which is responsible for specific mRNA codon recognition, and the 3' end, to which the tRNAs corresponding amino acid is attached (by aminoacyl-tRNA synthetases). tRNAs cope with the degeneracy of the genetic code in two manners: having more than one tRNA (with a specific anti-codon) for a particular amino acid; and 'wobble' base-pairing, i.e. permitting non-standard base-pairing at the 3rd anti-codon position. Lineage: Bacteria; Pseudomonadati; Pseudomonadota; Betaproteobacteria; Nitrosomonadales; Sterolibacteriaceae. The record is from RNAcentral.
GCCUGUUUAGCUCAGUUGGUAGAGCGCCGUCUCGAUAAGGCGGAUGUCGUUCGUUCAAACCGAACAACAGUCACCA